UCUCCUGGAAACGGGUGGUAAUGCCGGAUGUUCCACAUGAGCGCAUGCGAGUGUGGGAAAGGCUUUUUGCGGCAUGGGAUGGGGUCGCGUCCUAUCAGCUUGUUGGUGGGGUAACGGCCUACCAAGGCGUUGACGGGUAGCCGGCCUGAGAGGGCGACCGGCCACAUUGGGACUGAGAUACGGCCCAGACUCCUACGGGAGGCAGCAGUGGGGAAUAUUGCACAAUGGGCGCAAGCCUGAUGCAGCGACGCCGCGUGCGGGAUGGAGGCCUUCGGGUUGUAAACCGCUUUUGUUCAAGGGCAAGGCACGGUUUCGGCCGUGUUGAGUGGAUUGUUCGAAUAAGCACCGGCUAACUACGUGCCAGCAGCCGCGGUAAUACGUAGGGUGCAAGCGUUAUCCGGAUUUAUUGGGCGUAAAGGGCUCGUAGGCGGUUCGUCGCGUCCGGUGUGAAAGUCCAUCGCUUAACGGUGGAUCCGCGCCGGGUACGGGCGGGCUUGAGUGCGGUAGGGGAGACUGGAAUUCCCGGUGUAACGGGGAAUGUGUAGAUAUCGGGAAGAACACCA
RNAcentral lists this ribosomal RNA (563 nucleotides) under uncultured Bifidobacterium sp. RNAcentral describes it as "bacterial SSU rRNA". It matches the Rfam family "Bacterial small subunit ribosomal RNA", at positions 146 to 711 of the family's 1533-position model. The record is from RNAcentral. Lineage: Bacteria; Bacillati; Actinomycetota; Actinomycetes; Bifidobacteriales; Bifidobacteriaceae.